RNAcentral lists this transfer RNA (76 nucleotides) under Nitrosospira multiformis. RNAcentral describes it as "tRNA-Lys". It matches the Rfam family "tRNA". From Rfam's summary of the family: Transfer RNA (tRNA) molecules are approximately 80 nucleotides in length. Their secondary structure includes four short double-helical elements and three loops (D, anti-codon, and T loops). RNAcentral also lists the same sequence under 7 other names. Lineage: Bacteria; Pseudomonadati; Pseudomonadota; Betaproteobacteria; Nitrosomonadales; Nitrosomonadaceae. The record is from RNAcentral.
GGGUCGUUAGCUCAGCUGGUAGAGCAGCGGACUCUUAAUCCGUAGGUCGAGCGUUCGAAUCGCUCACGACCCACCA